GACGAACGCUGGCGGCGUGCCUAAUACAUGCAAGUCGAGCGCAGGAAACUGACGGAACUCUUCGGAGGGAAGGCAGUGGAAUGAGCGGCGGACGGGUGAGUAACACGUAAGGAACCUGCCUCAAGGAUUGGGAUAACUCCGAGAAAUCGGAGCUAAUACCGGAUAGUUCAUCGGACCGCAUGGUCCGUUGAUGAAAGGCGCUUCGGCGUCACCUUGAGAUGGCCUUGCGGUGCAUUAGCUAGUUGGUGGGGUAACGGCCCACCAAGGCGACGAUGCAGAGCCGAGCUGAGAGGGUGAUCGGCCACACUGGGACUGAGACACGGCCCAGACUCCUACGGGAGGCAGCAGUAGGGAAUCUUCCACAAUGGACGAAAGUCUGAUGGAGCAACGCCGCGUGAGUGAUGAAGGUUUUCGGAUCGUAAAACUCUGUUGUAAGGGAAGAGCACGUACGAGAGGGAAUGCUCGUACCUUGACGGUACCUUACGAGAAAGCCACGGCUAACUACGUGCCAGCCGCCGCCGUAA
Molecule: ribosomal RNA, 524 nt
Filed under: uncultured bacterium
Lineage: Bacteria
Description: partial 16S ribosomal RNA
Rfam family: Bacterial small subunit ribosomal RNA
Source: RNAcentral